This 22-nucleotide transfer RNA is filed under the name Cooperia oncophora. Its description in RNAcentral is "partial tRNA-Ser". The record is from RNAcentral. Lineage: Eukaryota; Metazoa; Nematoda; Chromadorea; Rhabditida; Trichostrongylidae.
AAUGAGUUAUAUACAAGUCUUC